Molecule: long non-coding RNA, 1993 nt
Organism: Erinaceus europaeus (western European hedgehog)
Lineage: Eukaryota; Metazoa; Chordata; Mammalia; Eulipotyphla; Erinaceidae
Exons: 2
Source: RefSeq, a predicted model, not a curated record
CGUAAUUACACAGGGUUUUUUUUUUGUUGUUGUUUUUGAUAGGUGUUUUUUUGUUCUUUGGUUAGAAACAUAUUUUCAAAUUUUGGAUUUGUGGUGGCUUUGUAUUUUUACUGAUGACAAUCUGAUAUCCCUGCUUUUAUAUGUCAUUUUAUUCCUUUCCCUUAUAGUCAACAUCUUUAUUUUCCCCUUCCCUCUCAUUAGGAAAUAAAUAAAAUAUUCAAAUAUAUAUUUGAACAAAUUGUUUAAUAAUCAGGAAUGUAAUGUAAAAAAUAUUGCAAAUGAGAUUGUGGUCUUCCUUUUGGAAAAAGCUAGGAAAUCAAUUUUAAGUAUAUUCCAAGGGGCCCAUGAAUAUACUAAUUUUGCCUGAGCCCAACAGAUAACAUUCAGGUGGGCUAAAGGUAUUUUCUGGAGAAGUUGAUGUCAGAGCUGGAAAUAGGACUAGAAAGCUGGGUCAUGGAAGAGAGUUGCUCCCAAAUAUGUGAAAAGUAUAUAAAUACCAUUAACUGUAAACCCUAUUGAUCUGAUCUAGGGCCCAUAUUUAGCACAGGAGCCUGUGUAACCUUUGCAUCCAUGUAGGUCUGAGCUUGCAUUCUGUGGUCAUAUCUAGGAACAUUCUAGUCUUCACUCACUUCAGGACCUGCUGGGCUAGCCUGAGAGUGUUUCUUCCUGGGCACGUGCUCUCUAGUUUAGAGAGAACUUGACCGGAGCCAACCUGGGCUGCUGCUUACUCAGCGACUCAGGAGAGGAACCAGGAAACGUGGCUGAGUGGGAAUGCAAUGCAAUCCUUUAUUGAUCAGAGAAAAAUGCCUUUUAUAUCUUCUGAAGAGGAAGUGGCAAGUGGGAAAAGGAAUGGCUAGGAAAGGGAGUGGAGUGCAAAAUCUUCCAUAGCAGCUGUUGUGAAGGUUCUCACCAGUGGGGAUUAAACCAAUAGCCUGCAGGCAGGGCGGGUCUCAGGCAAAACAGUGAUUAUGUAAAUAGACCAAAGCAAUGCAAUGGAUCUGGCAUAAUGACCAACAAGGACCCAUCUUCCUCAAAUGGCAGAGUAUGUUGAACUAGUCUCCCUUCAGAGAGUAGAGCAGGCCUGCCAUUGUUCUACAUUGAGGGCAAGGUCCUGUAGAGGCCCUCUGGAGGGUCCAUGAUACUCUUCCUGAUAGAAAUUGCCAGUGAUGGUGGAGAAAGAGAUUCAUUAGAGAUCUAGGCCUAUCAUAUCUAUCUGGGAAUACCAGGAUUCCCUCACUAGGGGUCUGGAUGAUGGGGUGGCCCAGUAGUGACCAAAAGAGCCAUAAUUUAAGUAAGCCAGUCAGAGUUUCUUUAGAAGACCUGGCUGCUUUCCUGUCUGAGUAAUAAGAUAUUCUGAACUCAAUUUUAUGAGAAAAUGCCCUCAACCUCUACAACUUUAACACCCGGUGUUCUCCAUUUCACCCUUUCACCUUCCUUCCUCCUGGUCAACCAGCUCAGACAGUUCUCAUUUCUACACUUUGUAUCUUCAGUAUUUCCCUUCCCUUCUACUCAUACUGCUGCUUCUGUACUCUCAUCCUUCUCUGGAAUCUUUCCUUUUCCUGUCAUCACUCUGAUUUCUCCAAGGACACAAGGAGCACCAUAGAGAAGAUCUGCCAGUUCCUGGGCAAGAACUUAGAGCCAGAAGAGAUUAACUCAGUCCUCAAGCACAGCUCCUUCCAGGCUAUGAGAGACAACAAAAUGACUAACUACACAAUUCAGGAUGACGCUUAUUUUAAUUUGAAUAAUGGUCCAUUUCUGAGAAAAGGCAUUUCCGGAGACUGGAGAAACCACUUGACGGUGGCCCAGGCAGAAGCCUUUGACAGAGCAUUCCAGGAGAAGAUGGUGGAUCUCCCUCCAGAGCUGUUUCCCUGGGAGUGACGUCUGAACCAAGUCUCUAGAUUCCUUGUGGCUGUUGCCCAUUGUUCUCUCAUCUUUCUAUGUGUACGUGAUGAGGGUCAUCAAAUAAAACUACUUAUUUUAGGUGAAACAUGGA